GUGCUUGCUUCAGCAGCACAUAUACUAAAAUUGGAACGAUGCAGAGAAGAUUAGCAUGGUCCCUGCACAAGGAUGACACAUAAAUUUAUGAUAUGUUCCAUAUUUAU
Pongo abelii (Sumatran orangutan) is the source of this 107-nucleotide small nuclear RNA. The record is from Ensembl. NCBI's taxonomy places the organism in Eukaryota, Metazoa, Chordata, Mammalia, Primates, Hominidae.